This is a long non-coding RNA of Strigops habroptila (Kakapo), 1474 nucleotides long. RefSeq lists it as uncharacterized. The record is from RefSeq and is a predicted model, not a curated record. Lineage: Eukaryota; Metazoa; Chordata; Aves; Psittaciformes; Psittacidae. The transcript is spliced from 5 exons.
AGAGGAAGAGUUGAUGAUAAUGGUCCUGAGAAGUGAGGGAGUUGUGCAUGGAUCACUUCCCAGGACACAAAGGCUGUCUGCACACUCUGCACCCAGGAAAUGAGCUUUAUCAACACCUGCUCACAAGGACAGUGAAACGAUCUUCCUGAUGAUGAUGGCUGGAAGCUCAUCAUGUGCUGAAGUCACUGUCUGGCCUCCCUGAGCCCUGUGGAGGAUUGUGCAAUCAUCAUCCGCGUUCAUCAUCUGAGUAAGUGUGAGCUGCUGACAGUAGAUGCCUCUCCGGAAAUAACUCAUCAAUCAUGAGAGCUGCCCACAGGAGGAGCCGCCCAGAGCCCUGAUCCGACAGCACUUACGCAGCAGGAUGCCCGUGUUAUCAGUGAGGAAAUCCAUGCGCUUGACUCUACAUACGCAAGUAUCCUCACUGGUUCCUGAAGGCAGCAAAAAGAGAAAGUCCUACCGACCCUCAUUCAGUUCACUGCAAGCCAGAAUGGUCAACAUCAACUGCGGUGCAAAGGUGAAGUAUAGCAGAGUCAUCUCAGGGCUGAAGGGGCACAGCCUGUGAUCCAUCAGGCUCAGCAGCAGCAGUGUCACAGCUACAUCCCUCCUCUAACCUGGCAGUAUUCUCACCUGGGCACCAUAAGCCCUAACAGCCCAGCCAGAAGCCUCAGCCCUCCUCUUCCCUGAGCAAAUACAACUAGAAAAGGAAGAGAGCAGUCUGAACAACCUUACUCUCCUCUUGUCUGCACACAAAGCUGACAAGACAACCAGAAAAGACAAGGGAGAAAAGCACUUGCAAAGAAAGAUAAACAUAUAAUUAGCAAAAAUAAAUACAUCAUUAUUUGAUGGUUUUCAUGCGUGUUACUGUUUCAACUGCUCAUGAAUUGUUUCAUCCAGAUUGUAAAAUAUUCAUAUUUAUAUGUUACUCAGAAAGAGAUGUGAUGCCCUGGAGAGGCUAAUUCUUGGUUUGCAGAUUGUUUACAAGCUGUCAAUUGCAAUUUGAAUAUAUUUGCAAUUCAUAGGGCUGAUAAAUAACGUAAGUCACAUGGCGUAGUUUCUGCUCCUGAGCUGUAGUACAUCCCUGUGUAAGUAACACCAAGGUAGGCAAGCAUUUGUCUCCCCAUCUGCCUCUCAAAUCACACAUUUAAUGGAGCAAGCAAACAUAAUACCCAAGAGUACCUCUGGGAUCUCGUAAUAAUAUUCUGCCCUGCCUGACUCCCUGGAAAGCUCUGAUCUCAUGGCAUUGUGUGUGGCCACCUUUUGCUGAAUCCUGUCUCAGUUAUGGCUCACACAUGAGCAGGACGUGUAUUCUGUAUGUUUUCUCUGUAUGGCACCUAGCAUGCUGUGGGACAGCCAGCCAGAAAGGGAUAAAAGGAAAACUAUGCCACAGUGACUGCACGCUUUGCCUGGGUGUGGGUGACUGAGAACUCGGGAGGCUCUGGCUCAUUAUUCCACCAUGUGGGGGUGACUCUGUCCU